AAAAAUAUUUUACAUCAAUUUGAAAUUAUUGGUAAAUCAUUUACAUCUUCUUUUUAUGAUAAAGUGAAAUGUUCUUUUAUUACAUAUCCAUUUAAUUUAUAUUAUUGGUUUGUUUUAAAUCCUGGUAAACCAUUUGUUGAAGCAAUCAGUGAAACAGGUAUGAUUAAAAAAACUGAUCUAUUUCCUAAAACAGAUCAACAAAAAGAAAAAGAAGAAAUUGAAAAAGAUGAAAAAAUAGUCGACAAUUUAUUUAAAUUAUAUGAAACUGGUGAAAAACAAUAUGAAGAAGAUGGUAGUGAUAGAAUGUCAUUAGAAUCAACUAGUGUUGGUAGUAGAUCACGAAGUAGUAGUGUAAGUAGUUAUGAAACUGUUCCUGAUGAAGAAGAGGGCGCUUCGUAUGAAUCAGCUAAAGAGGAAGCUAGUGCAGAGACAUCUUCCAUUGAAAGUAUAGAUAGUGAUAAUUUUACAGAUGUACCUGAAACACAAAAAUUAGAAGAUUAUAGUAUACCCAAAGCUCCAUUAAGCACACAAGACUCUACUACUUUGGAUAGUACAAGAAUACAAGAACAGGUACCACAAAAAAAAGCAGAUAUUGGUGAUAUAACAAGAAUUGCUGCAUCUAGACCAGCACAAAUCAUGACUCCAAUAACAUUACCCAUUGUUGAACAAGAAGGUUUAUAUGCACAAGAUAAUAACGGUUUUAUCAGACAAAAUAAUGGAAACAAUGACGAAAGCAGAGGUGACAAAGGUGGACGCACACCUAUAUUUAGUUUAAGAAACAGAAGUUCUAGUGCAUCAUUUAUAACUGUUAAACAACAUAGUAUUAUGGAUAAAGUAUCAAAAACAGUAAAUGAAUCUAACAAAUUUAUAAAAAAUAAAAAUUUUAGUUUUGUUCAAAAGAAAAUUGAAAAUAACUUAAAAUUUGAUUCUAACCUAAUUGAUGUUAAACGUAAUCCUGAAUUUACAGCUUCGUUCGGAUAUUUUGACAGACCUUAUAAUAUGUAUGUAUCACAAACAGGAAUUUAUCGAAACUUUCAAUUGGUUUUACAAAUAGUACAUACAUUCAUGUCUUUAAACAGAUUUUCUGUUGUUAGUCCAGUAGAUAUUAUUAAAAAAGGUAUUGAAAUAUUGUCAACAGAAACUGAUUCUAUACAAGUAAACGAAUAUAAUCCAUUUCUUUAUAAAACAAUAUUAGAUAUAAAUGAAGUAAUACAAAACGAAAAAUUAGAAAGUAGCAGAUUACGAUUGCAUAAAUUAGGUAAUUUAUUUGUAGCAUAUAAAUCAAUCGAAUUCCAAUUAUUUAAUAGCUUUGAAAUUUUUCCAACAUUAAAAAGAUUAAAUAGGUCAGAAUUGUUAUAUAUUUUAAAAGUAAUAAAACAAGGGUAUUCUUAUCAUUUACAAAAAGUUCUAAAUAAAUUAAAGCAGAAAAGAAAAUUCCCAUACAGCAUAAGAAAAGCUUUGGCAACGAUGAAUGAAUAUAAAGAAUUGUUUGAUGAAGAAAUGUUAAAAAAAUUCAGUGAGUUAAUUAUACAAUCACUUAAAUGUACAGAUGUAAAUGAGUUAAACAAGCUUUUAGAAGAUUUUAAAAAUAUAAUAUUUGAUUAUGAAGUAAAAAAAACAUUAGAAGAUACUAAUAAUAUUGAUGUAAUGAAAACAAUCAUAAAUAAUACACCGAUAAUAAAAUUCUAUCAAGAAAAGCUUGAAAAAACAUAUAAAGGUAAUGUUGAGAAACCCGAAACUGUAAAAACAACAAUAGAAUUAGAAAAAGU
Piliocolobus tephrosceles (Ugandan red Colobus) is the source of this 1769-nucleotide long non-coding RNA. Lineage: Eukaryota; Metazoa; Chordata; Mammalia; Primates; Cercopithecidae. The record is from Ensembl.